This 458-nucleotide ribosomal RNA is filed under the name Prevotella denticola. RNAcentral describes it as "bacterial SSU rRNA". It matches the Rfam family "Bacterial small subunit ribosomal RNA", at positions 28 to 473 of the family's 1533-position model. The record is from RNAcentral. Lineage: Bacteria; Pseudomonadati; Bacteroidota; Bacteroidia; Bacteroidales; Prevotellaceae.
GAUGAACGCUGGCUACAGGCUUAACACAUGCAAGUCGAGGGGAAACGGCAUUGAGUGCUUGCACUGAAUGGACGUCGACCGGCGCACGGGUGAGUAACGCGUAUCCAACCUUCCCGUUACUGCGGGAUAACCUGCCGAAAGGCAGACUAAUACCGCAUGUUCUUCGAUGACGGCAUCAGAUUCGAAGCAAAGAUCCGUCGGUAACGGAGGGGGAUGCGUCUGAUUAGCUAGUUGGCGGGGCGACGGCCCACCAAGGCGACGAUCAGUAGGGGUUCUGAGAGGAAGGUCCCCCACAUUGGAACUGAGACACGGUCCAAACUCCUACGGGAGGCAGCAGUGAGGAAUAUUGGUCAAUGGGCGGAAGCCUGAACCAGCCAAGUAGCGUGCAGGAGGACGGCCCUACGGGUUGUAAACUGCUUUUAUGCGGGGAUAAAGUGAGGGACGCGUCCCUUUUUGCA